GUGAAUUACCGACUGACCAAUGAUGUAUCGACUCAACUACUCAAGCUACCUAGCAAUAACAAGAUCGACCAGACAUCGACACUAUCGGACAACAGACAUACAGCUUCCGGUACUUAACUUAGUCUGUCCGACAGAAUUUGUAGAAACAAGGACAGGAUUUUUAACUUAAAUCUAACCAUAGUUAAUAGAGGGGACAGAGCAGCUCGAUGGAGUUCAUCAGAGUAAACAUCCUACAGGUUAUCGUUCCGUUAUUGUUAACAGUGGUCGUUAUCUUGCUGAUUGCGAUUCUUCGCAAUUUUCGUGGAGCAACGAGGACUGUCACACAGAUGCAGCAGAAAGAAAAAGAACCAGAAGAAAACGAUGAGCGGUUUGUAACAGCUGUGCGGAGACGGAGAGGAAGUAGACUUAGUCUUCCCUGCAUUUUGACGACUGGCUGAAUCAACACCUUGAAACAAAAUCAGGAAAAGAUCCUUUUUGAGAUCACACCGGACUUUGUUCGGCUUCUCACACAAACAUGACGAAGAGUUGUUACACGGAGAAAUAACGUUACUUACAAUUUGGUUGCAAUUGGACAGAGAUUCGAACCAGUGAGAUUGAAAUGAUUACUUCUAAAAAACUUGUUGCAAGGACUUGAAAUAAUUACUCUGAUCGUGAAAGUUAACGAUGGUCAUUACUUAUACGAUAUUGCGUUAUUAUUUUUCAAAAGGUAGCAAAAACUUGUAGAAGAAAAACUCGAUUUCUGCUUUUCAUCUUUAUUGGCUGUGGUAGUUUUAUUUUCUCGAGGUACUUACCAUGUAAGUGAAGAAAAAACUAUUGAUAAGAGUUAUGAAAUAACAUCAGCAUACUUCAUUUGUUAACUAUUUUAAACAAAAUAAAAUUUUCUCUGUGUCUAAAUAAAAUUAAUAAAAGUGUAAUCAUUAUGAAAAACAAUUACAGUAGUAAAACAAGAAGAAGCAUCAUUUUGUUCUUACCUUCAAGGAGCAUGCUAUCGAACAGAAAAGCUGCAAGGUAGAAAUAUUAAUUAACAAGUCUUACAGACUCAGUUUUUCCAUCAAAUGACAAUACUAUAUCAAAAAUGUCCAGACAAGGGUAACUAGUUUUAUUGAGUUUUUGGACAGAUUUCUUAUAAAGUUUCCUGUUACAUUUACAAUAUAUCCAAUAUGGGCUUUCCUUUAUUUUUGUUAAAAUCUUCAUUACAUGAAUCUAAAGUUUCAAACUUAUGGAUACAAUACUUUUGUAGUUCUUGUUUUGUAGCAGUGUCCAUUGUUUUGUAUUCUUAUGCUUUUCUGGUUUUUAUUUCUUAUAGAAUCCAUAGUUUUGCA
Molecule: long non-coding RNA, 1322 nt
Organism: Stylophora pistillata
Lineage: Eukaryota; Metazoa; Cnidaria; Anthozoa; Scleractinia; Pocilloporidae
Source: RefSeq, a predicted model, not a curated record